RNAcentral lists this ribosomal RNA (482 nucleotides) under uncultured bacterium. RNAcentral describes it as "partial 16S ribosomal RNA". It matches the Rfam family "Bacterial small subunit ribosomal RNA", at positions 30 to 507 of the family's 1533-position model. The record is from RNAcentral.
AUUGAACGCUGGCGGCAUGCCUUACACAUGCAAGUCGAACGGUAACGGGCCUUCGGGUGCCGACGAGUGGCGAACGGGUGAGUAAUACAUCGGAACGUGCCCGAUCGUGGGGGAUAACGAGGCGAAAGCUUUGCUAAUACCGCAUACGAUCUACGGAUGAAAGCAGGGGACCGCAAGGCCUUGCGCGGACGGAGCGGCCGAUGGCGGAUUAGGUAGUUGGUGGGAUAAAAGCUUACCAAGCCGACGAUCUGUAGCUGGUCUGAGAGGAUGAUCAGCCACACUGGGACUGAGACACGGCCCAGACUCCUGCGGGAGGCAGCAGUGGGGAAUUUUGGACAAUGGGCGCAAGCCUGAUCCAGCCAGGCCGCGUGCAGGAUGAAGGCCUUCGGGUUGUAAACUGCUUUUGUACGGAACGAAAAGCCUUCUUUUAAUACAGGAGGGUCAUGACGGUACCGGAAGAAUAAGCACCGGCUAACUACGUG